CAAGUGACCCCGGUCUAACCACCGGGAUGUUCAUAACCCUUUGUUGCCCGACUCUGUUGCCUCCGGGGCGACCCUGCCUUCGGGCGGGGGCUCCGGGUGGACACUUCAAACUCUUGCGUAACUUUGCAGUCUGAGUAAACUUAAUUAAUAAAUUA
Molecule: unclassified non-coding RNA, 155 nt
Filed under: soil metagenome
Description: partial internal transcribed spacer 1
Source: RNAcentral